GCACCUGAUCUUUCCCAUUCCUUGCUGCCUAGUGCAGGCCUGGGGACACAUGGUGCUUACAGAAAAGCAGAGUAAAUCCAGACAGGUGUGUUUACUUCUCUGAAUACUUGUCCCUACAACUCUGCAACAGUU
RNAcentral lists this small nucleolar RNA (132 nucleotides) under Tinamus guttatus (white-throated tinamou). Its description in RNAcentral is "Small nucleolar RNA SNORA55". It matches the Rfam family "Small nucleolar RNA SNORA55". Rfam says of the family: ACA55 is a member of the H/ACA class of snoRNA that guide the sites of modification of uridines to pseudouridines. Lineage: Eukaryota; Metazoa; Chordata; Aves; Tinamiformes; Tinamidae. The record is from Rfam by way of RNAcentral.